This 635-nucleotide ribosomal RNA is filed under the name Leifsonia sp. RNAcentral describes it as "partial 16S ribosomal RNA". It matches the Rfam family "Bacterial small subunit ribosomal RNA", at positions 101 to 750 of the family's 1533-position model. The record is from RNAcentral. Lineage: Bacteria; Bacillati; Actinomycetota; Actinomycetes; Micrococcales; Microbacteriaceae.
AACGGGUGAGUAACACGUGAGUAACCUGCCCUUGACUCUGGGAUAACCUCGGGAAACCGAAGCUAAUACCGGAUACGACCCUCGGAGGCAUCUCCAGGGGGUGGAAAGAACUUCGGUCAAGGAUGGACUCGCGGCCUAUCAGGUAGUUGGUGAGGUAACGGCUCACCAAGCCGACGACGGGUAGCCGGCCUGAGAGGGUGACCGGCCACACUGGGACUGAGACACGGCCCAGACUCCUACGGGAGGCAGCAGUGGGGAAUAUUGCACAAUGGGCGCAAGCCUGAUGCAGCAACGCCGCGUGAGGGACGACGGCCUUCGGGUUGUAAACCUCUUUUAGUAGGGAAGAAGCGAAAGUGACGGUACCUGCAGAAAAAGCACCGGCUAACUACGUGCCAGCAGCCGCGGUAAUACGUAGGGUGCAAGCGUUGUCCGGAAUUAUUGGGCGUAAAGAGCUCGUAGGCGGUUUGUCGCGUCUGCUGUGAAAACCCGAGGCUCAACCUCGGGCCUGCAGUGGGUACGGGCAAACUAGAGUGCGGUAGGGGAGAAUGGAAUUCCUGGUGUAGCGGUGGAAUGCGCAGAUAUCAGGAGGAACACCGAUGGCGAAGGCAGUUCUCUGGGCCGUAACUGACGCUGAG